AUGCACGCUGGCGGCGUGCCUAAUACAUGCCAGUCGCGCGAACAGACGAGGAGCUUGCUCCUCUGACGUUAGCGGCGGACGGGUGAGUAACACGUGGAUAACCUACCUAUAAGACUGGGAUAACUUCGGGAAACCGGAGCUAAUACCGGAUAACAUGUUGAACCGCAUGGUUCAACAGUGAAAGACGGUCUUGCUGUCACUUAUAGAUGGAUCCGCGCCGCAUUAGCUAGUUGGUAAGGUAACGGCUUACCAAGGCAACGAUGCGUAGCCGACCUGAGAGGGUGAUCGGCCACACUGGAACUGAGACACGGUCCAGACUCCUACGGGAGGCAGCAGUAGGGAAUCUUCCGCAAUGGGCGAAAUCCUGACGGAGCAACGCCGCGUGAGUGAAGAAGGUCUUCGGAUCGUAAAACUCUGUUAUUAGGGAAGAACAAAUGUGUAAGUAACUAUGCACGUCUUGACGGUACCUAAUCAGAAAGCCACGGCUAACUACGUG
This 496-nucleotide ribosomal RNA is filed under the name uncultured bacterium. RNAcentral describes it as "partial 16S ribosomal RNA". It matches the Rfam family "Bacterial small subunit ribosomal RNA", at positions 29 to 507 of the family's 1533-position model. The record is from RNAcentral.